UUGCCCCAGUAACGGCGAGUGAAGCGGCAACAGCUCAAAUUUGAAAUCUGGCCCCUAGGGCCCGAGUUGUAAUUUGCAGAGGAUGCUUUUGGCGAGGUGCCUUCCGAGUUCCCUGGAACGGGACGCCACAGAGGGUGAGAGCCCCGUCUGGUUGGAUACCGAGCCUCUGUAAAGCUCCUUCGACGAGUCGAGUAGUUUGGGAAUGCUGCUCUAAAUGGGAGGUAUAUGUCUUCUAAAGCUAAAUACCGGCCAGAGACCGAUAGCGCACAAGUAGAGUGAUCGAAAGAUGAAAAGCACUUUGAAAAGAGGGUUAAAUAGUACGUGAAAUUGUUGAAAGGGAAGCGCUUAUGACCAGACUUGGGCCCGGUGAAUCAUCCAGCGUUCUCGCUGGUGCACUUUGCCGGGCUCAGGCCAGCAUCAGUUUGCCCCGGGGGACAAAGGCUUUGGGAAUGUGGCUCUUUCGGGAGUGUUAUAGCCCAUUGCACAAUACCCUGAGGCGGACUGAGGUUCGCGCAUCUGCAAGGAUGCUGGCGUAAUGGUCAUCAGCGACCCGUCUUGAAACACGGACCAAGGAGUCGUCUUCGUAUGCGAGUGUUCGGGUGUAAAACCCCUACGCGUAAUGAAAGUGAACGCAGGUGAGAGCUUCGGCGCAUCAUCGACCGAUCCUGAUGUUCUCGGAUGGAUUUGAGUAAGAGCAUACGGGGCCGGACCCGAAAGAAGGUGAACUAUGCCUGUAUAGGGUGAAGCCAGAGGAAACUCUGGUGGAGGCUCGCAGCGGUUCUGACGUGCAAAUCGAUCGUCAAAUAUGGGCAUGGGGGCGAAAGACUAAUCGAACCUUCUAGUAGCUGGUUUCCGCCGAAGUUUCCCUCAGGAUAGCAGUGUUGAACUCAGUUUUAUGAGGUAAAGCGAAUGAUUAGGGACCCGGGGGCGCUUCUUAGCCUUCAUCCAUUCUCAAACUUUAAAUAUGUAAGAAGCCCUUGUUACUUAGUUGAACGUGGGCAUUCGAAUGUAUCAACACUAGUGGGCCAUUUUUGGUAAGCAGAACUGGCGAUGCGGGAUGAACCGAACGCGAGGUUAAGGUGCCAGAGUAGACGCUCAUCAGACACCACAAAAGGUGUUAGUACAUCUUGACAGCAGGACGGUGGCCAUGGAAGUCGGAAUCCGCUAAGGACUGUGUAACAACUCACCUGCCGAAUGUACUAGCCCUGAAAAUGGAUGGCGCUCAAGCGUCUCACCCAUACCUCGCCCUCAGGGUAGAAACGAAGCCCUGAGGAGUAGGCGGACGUGGAGGUCAG
RNAcentral lists this ribosomal RNA (1295 nucleotides) under Metarhizium granulomatis. RNAcentral's name for it is "eukaryotic LSU rRNA". It matches the Rfam family "Eukaryotic large subunit ribosomal RNA", at positions 75 to 1401 of the family's 3401-position model. Lineage: Eukaryota; Fungi; Ascomycota; Sordariomycetes; Hypocreales; Clavicipitaceae. The record is from RNAcentral.